This 400-nucleotide ribosomal RNA is filed under the name uncultured bacterium. Its description in RNAcentral is "bacterial SSU rRNA". It matches the Rfam family "Bacterial small subunit ribosomal RNA", at positions 29 to 412 of the family's 1533-position model. The record is from RNAcentral.
AACGAACGCUGGCGGCGUGGAUAAGACAUGCAAGUCGAGCGAGAUUUUUUCUAGUAGCAAUACCGGGAAAAGUCUAGCGGCGAACGGGUGCUUAACACGUGGGCAACCUGCCGUGAAGUGGGGGAUAGCUCGCCGAAAGGCGAAUUAAUACCGCAUGUGAUUAGAGAGGACAUCCUUUCGAAAUUAAAGUCGGGGCAACCUGACGCUUCUUGUGGGGCCCGCGGCCUAUCAGCUAGUUGGUGAGGUAACGGCUCACCAAGGCUUUGACGGGUAGCUGGUCUGAGAGGACGACCAGCCACACUGGGACUGAGACACGGCCCAGACACCUACGGGUGGCAGCAGUCGAGAAUUUUUGACAAUGGGGGAAACCCUGAUCGAGCGACGCCGCGUGGAGGAUGAA